GGGUACAUGGGGGGGACCUGAUCCAGCCAUGCCGCGUGUGUGAAGAAGGCCUUAUGGUUGUAAAGCACUUUAAGCGAGGAGGAGGCUACUAGUAUUAAUACUACUGGAUAGUGGACGUUACUCGCAGAAUAAGCACCGGCUAACUCUGUGCCAGCAGCCGCGGUAAUA
RNAcentral lists this ribosomal RNA (168 nucleotides) under uncultured Acinetobacter sp. RNAcentral describes it as "partial 16S ribosomal RNA". It matches the Rfam family "Bacterial small subunit ribosomal RNA", at positions 365 to 525 of the family's 1533-position model. Lineage: Bacteria; Pseudomonadati; Pseudomonadota; Gammaproteobacteria; Moraxellales; Moraxellaceae. The record is from RNAcentral.